This 304-nucleotide ribosomal RNA is filed under the name uncultured bacterium. RNAcentral describes it as "partial 16S ribosomal RNA". It matches the Rfam family "Bacterial small subunit ribosomal RNA", at positions 506 to 807 of the family's 1533-position model. The record is from RNAcentral.
CAGCAGCAGCCGCGGUAAUACAGAGGGUGCGAGCGUUAAUCGGAUUUACUGGGCGUAAAGCGUGCGUAGGCGGCUUCUUAAGUCGGAUGUGAAAUCCCUGAGCUUAACUUAGGAAUUGCAUUCGAUACUGGGAAGCUAGAGUAUGGGAGAGGAUGGUAGAAUUCCAGGUGUAGCGGUGAAAUGCGUAGAGAUCUGGAGGAAUACCGAUGGCGAAGGCAGCCAUCUGGCCUAAUACUGACGCUGAGGUACGAAAGCAUGGGGAGCAAACAGGAUUAGAUACCCCCGUAGUCCCUGUCUCUUAUAC